RNAcentral lists this ribosomal RNA (2905 nucleotides) under Enterobacter hormaechei. RNAcentral's name for it is "23S ribosomal RNA". It matches the Rfam family "Bacterial large subunit ribosomal RNA". RNAcentral also lists the same sequence under 1 other name. The record is from RNAcentral. Lineage: Bacteria; Pseudomonadati; Pseudomonadota; Gammaproteobacteria; Enterobacterales; Enterobacteriaceae.
GGUUAAGCGACUAAGCGUACACGGUGGAUGCCCUGGCAGUCAGAGGCGAUGAAGGACGUGCUAAUCUGCGAAAAGCGCCGGCGAGGUGAUAUGAACCCUUGACCCGGCGAUGUCCGAAUGGGGAAACCCAGUGCAAUCCGUUGCACUAUCGUUAACUGAAUACAUAGGUUAACGAGGCGAACCGGGGGAACUGAAACAUCUAAGUACCCCGAGGAAAAGAAAUCAACCGAGAUUCCCCCAGUAGCGGCGAGCGAACGGGGAGCAGCCCGGAGUCUGAAUCAGCUUGUGUGUUAGUGGAACGGUCUGGAAAGUCCGACGGUACAGGGUGAUAGUCCCGUACACGAAAGCACACUUGCUGUGAACUCGAAGAGUAGGGCGGGACACGUGGUAUCCUGUCUGAAUAUGGGGGGACCAUCCUCCAAGGCUAAAUACUCCUGACUGACCGAUAGUGAACCAGUACCGUGAGGGAAAGGCGAAAAGAACCCCGGCGAGGGGAGUGAAAAAGAACCUGAAACCGUGUACGUACAAGCAGUGGGAGCCUCUUUAUGGGGUGACUGCGUACCUUUUGUAUAAUGGGUCAGCGACUUAUAUUCUGUAGCAAGGUUAACCGUAUAGGGGAGCCGAAGGGAAACCGAGUCUUAACUGGGCGUUAAGUUGCAGGGUAUAGACCCGAAACCCGGUGAUCUAGCCAUGGGCAGGUUGAAGGUUGGGUAACACUAACUGGAGGACCGAACCGACUAAUGUUGAAAAAUUAGCGGAUGACCUGUGGCUGGGGGUGAAAGGCCAAUCAAACCGGGAGAUAGCUGGUUCUCCCCGAAAGCUAUUUAGGUAGCGCCUCGUGAACUCAUCUUCGGGGGUAGAGCACUGUUUCGGCUAGGGGGCCAUCCCGGCUUACCAACCCGAUGCAAACUACGAAUACCGAAGAAUGUUAUCACGGGAGACACACGGCGGGUGCUAACGUCCGUCGUGAAGAGGGAAACAACCCAGACCGCCAGCUAAGGUCCCAAAGUCAUGGUUAAGUGGGAAACGAUGUGGGAAGGCACAGACAGCCAGGAUGUUGGCUUAGAAGCAGCCAUCAUUUAAAGAAAGCGUAAUAGCUCACUGGUCGAGUCGGCCUGCGCGGAAGAUGUAACGGGGCUAAACCAUGCACCGAAGCUGCGGCAGCGACACUAUGUGUUGUUGGGUAGGGGAGCGUUCUGUAAGCCGUUGAAGGUGUGCUGUGAGGCAUGCUGGAGGUAUCAGAAGUGCGAAUGCUGACAUAAGUAACGAUAAAGCGGGUGAAAAGCCCGCUCGCCGGAAGACCAAGGGUUCCUGUCCAACGUUAAUCGGGGCAGGGUGAGUCGACCCCUAAGGCGAGGCCGAAAGGCGUAGUCGAUGGGAAACAGGUUAAUAUUCCUGUACUUGGUGUUACUGCGAAGGGGGGACGGAGAAGGCUAUGUCAGCCGGGCGACGGUUGUCCCGGUUUAAGCAUGUAGGCGGAGGUUCCAGGUAAAUCCGGUACCUUAUUAACGCUGAGGUGUGAUGACGAGGCACUACGGUGCUGAAGUGAUAAAUGCCCUGCUUCCAGGAAAAGCCUCUAAGCAUCAGGUAACACGAAAUCGUACCCCAAACCGACACAGGUGGUCAGGUAGAGAAUACCAAGGCGCUUGAGAGAACUCGGGUGAAGGAACUAGGCAAAAUGGUGCCGUAACUUCGGGAGAAGGCACGCUGAUGUGUAGGUGAAGCCCCUGCGGGCGGAGCUGAAAUCAGUCGAAGAUACCAGCUGGCUGCAACUGUUUAUUAAAAACACAGCACUGUGCAAACACGAAAGUGGACGUAUACGGUGUGACGCCUGCCCGGUGCCGGAAGGUUAAUUGAUGGGGUUAGCGGCAACGCGAAGCUCUUGAUCGAAGCCCCGGUAAACGGCGGCCGUAACUAUAACGGUCCUAAGGUAGCGAAAUUCCUUGUCGGGUAAGUUCCGACCUGCACGAAUGGCGUAAUGAUGGCCAGGCUGUCUCCACCCGAGACUCAGUGAAAUUGAACUCGCUGUGAAGAUGCAGUGUACCCGCGGCAAGACGGAAAGACCCCGUGAACCUUUACUAUAGCUUGACACUGAACACUGGUCCUUGAUGUGUAGGAUAGGUGGGAGGCUUUGAAGCGUGGACGCCAGUCUGCGUGGAGCCAACCUUGAAAUACCACCCUUUAAUGGCUGGUGUUCUAACGUAGACCCGUAAUCCGGGUUGCGGACAGUGUCUGGUGGGUAGUUUGACUGGGGCGGUCUCCUCCCAAAGAGUAACGGAGGAGCACGAAGGUUGGCUAAUCCUGGUCGGACAUCAGGAGGUUAGUGCAAUGGCAUAAGCCAGCUUGACUGCGAGCGUGACGGCGCGAGCAGGUGCGAAAGCAGGUCAUAGUGAUCCGGUGGUUCUGAAUGGAAGGGCCAUCGCUCAACGGAUAAAAGGUACUCCGGGGAUAACAGGCUGAUACCGCCCAAGAGUUCAUAUCGACGGCGGUGUUUGGCACCUCGAUGUCGGCUCAUCACAUCCUGGGGCUGAAGUAGGUCCCAAGGGUAUGGCUGUUCGCCAUUUAAAGUGGUACGCGAGCUGGGUUUAGAACGUCGUGAGACAGUUCGGUCCCUAUCUGCCGUGGGCGCUGGAGAAUUGAGGGGGGCUGCUCCUAGUACGAGAGGACCGGAGUGGACGCAUCACUGGUGUUCGGGUUGUCAUGCCAAUGGCACUGCCCGGUAGCUAAAUGCGGAAGAGAUAAGUGCUGAAAGCAUCUAAGCACGAAACUUGCCCCGAGAUGAGUUCUCCCUGAGACUUUAAGUCUCCUGAAGGAACGUUGAAGACGACGACGUUGAUAGGUCGGGUGUGUAAGCGCAGCGAUGCGUUGAGCUAACCGAUACUAAUGAACCGUGAGGCUUAACCUU